UUAAGUUCAGCGGGUAGUCCUACCUGAUUUGAGGUCAAAAUUUCGAAAUAGAUUUGUCCUUUCAGACAGUUAGAAGCAAGUCUAAGCUCAAUCCACGGCAUAGAUAAUUAUCACACCAAUAGACAGAAGCCCAGUUUGAACUUGCUAAUCAAUUUAAGGAGAGCAGGUUCACAAUGUGGUUUUUCUGCACACCCCCAACA
RNAcentral lists this unclassified non-coding RNA (200 nucleotides) under Psathyrella sp. Its description in RNAcentral is "partial internal transcribed spacer 2". The record is from RNAcentral. Lineage: Eukaryota; Fungi; Basidiomycota; Agaricomycetes; Agaricales; Psathyrellaceae.